Molecule: long non-coding RNA, 944 nt
Filed under: Salmo salar (Atlantic salmon)
Lineage: Eukaryota; Metazoa; Chordata; Actinopteri; Salmoniformes; Salmonidae
Description: lncRNA (ENSSSAG00000109841.1)
Source: RNAcentral
UCCAGUCCCUAGACUUCCUGGCGCUGACGGAAACAUGGAUCACCACAGAUAACACUGCUACUCCUACUGCUCUCUCCUCGUCUGACUACGUGUUCUCGCAUACCCCUAGAGCAUCGAGCCAGCGGGGUGGUGGCACUGGAAUCCUCAUCUCUCCCAAGUGGACAUUCUCUCUUUCUCCCCUGACCCAUCUGUCUAUCUCCUCAUUUGAAUUCCAUGCUGUCACAGUUACCAGCCCUUUCAAGCUUAACAUCCUUAUCAUUUAUCGCCCUCCAGGUUCCCUUGGAGAGUUCAUCAAUGAGCUUGACGCCUUGAUAAGUUCCUUUCCUGAGGAUGGCUCACCUCUCACAGUUCUGGACCAUUUCCGGAGACCUUCUCCCCUACCUCACCUCGCUCAUCAACGCAUCCUUGACCGCUGGCUACGUCCCUUCCGUCUUCAAGAGAGCGAGAGUUGCACCCCUUCUGAAAAAACCUACACUCGACCCCUCCGAUGUCAACAACUACAGACCUAUCUGCUGCCUUUGAUACCGUGAACCAUCAGAUCCUCCUCUCCACCCUCUCCGAGCUGGGCAUCUCUGGCACCGCGCACGCUUGGAUUGCGUCCUACCUGACAGGUCGCUCCUACCAGGUGGCGAAUCGCAUCUCUGCAUGUCUGGCAGACAUAUCAGUGUGGAUGACGGAUCACCACCUCAAGCUGAACCUCGGCAAGACGGAGCUGCUCUUCCUCCCGGGGAAGGACUGCCCGUUCCAUGAUCUCGCCAUCACGGUUGACAACUCCCUUGUGUCCUCCUCCCAGAGUGCUAAGAGCCUUGGCGUGACCCUGGACAACACCCUGUCGUUCUCCACCAACAUCAAGGCGGUGACCCGAUCCUGCAGGUUCAUGCUCUACAACAUUCGCAGAGUACGACCCUGCCUCACACAGGAAGCGGCGCAGGUCCUAAUCCAGG